CAUCAGAGGCCGCAGCAGACGGGACGUGACUGGGAGGAAGGAUUUCCUGGAGAGGAGAGAGAACGAUAGACAGUAAAGAACAGACGGAACUUUCCACCGUUUAACGGUCGCGUAAAUCAGCAGCCCGAGCGAGCGGACGGCGAGGGUCAGAGAAGGCAGCGGUCAGAGCGCUGUGAGGGCCGGCAGUGAAAACGGCAGAUUCUCUGGGAAAAUUUUUCCCACUCGAGCAUGCUGGCAGAUAGAGUUACUCCAUCUGAUGAAGAACCCCUCAGAGGAAUGAAGCAGGCUGAUAAUUACAUUAGAACGUUCUCCUGGAGGCUCAGGAAAGGUCACUGGCUUCAGAUGGAGCUCUAAUGGUCAGAUGCCCUCAGCACAACCACAGAUACGCCACGGCUGGACUUCAAAGAGUCGUCCACAGUUGUCUGUGUAUA
Colossoma macropomum (tambaqui) is the source of this 431-nucleotide long non-coding RNA. RefSeq lists it as uncharacterized. NCBI's taxonomy places the organism in Eukaryota, Metazoa, Chordata, Actinopteri, Characiformes, Serrasalmidae. The transcript has 3 exons. The record is from RefSeq and is a predicted model, not a curated record.